RNAcentral lists this unclassified non-coding RNA (364 nucleotides) under uncultured bacterium. Its description in RNAcentral is "contains 16S-23S intergenic spacer region". The record is from RNAcentral.
UCCCGAUUGGCUCGGGCAGUCUCGUAUGAAAAAUUCAACAUACGAUAAGGGUUGCGCUCGUUGCGGGACUUAACCCAACAUCUCACGACACGAGCUGACGACGGCCAUGCAGCACCUGUCACUGCGUUCCCGAAGGCACUCCACUAUUUCUAGCGGAUUCGCAGGAUGUCAAACCUCGGUAAGGUUCUUCGUGUAGCGUCGAAUUAAACCACAUGAUCCUCUGCUUGUGCGGAUCCCCGUCAAUUCCUUUGAGUUUUAAGCUUGCGCUCGUACUCCCCAGGCGGCAGGCUUAUCGCGUUAGCUUCUUGGCCCAAGGGGUCGAUACCUCGAACUAAUAGCCUGCAUCGUUUACGGCGUGGACUAC